CAGGGAUCAAACCCUCAUCCCCUUGCAUUGGAAGGUGAAGUCUCAACCAGUGGACCACCAGGGAAGUCCCUGAGUAAGUGUAAUUUCUAGACAGUAAAUACUAUCUUUCUAUAUAGCUGCUUCCCGAGAGUGAGUUUGACAACCAGUGUGGCAGGUUAACGGAUUCAGGUGUCUGGAGUAUCAUUUCGUGGCUUGCAGGAAUGCUCCAAAUUUCACAAUGCUGCAUCCAGUAUGUCAACCCCGCUCUUCCUGCGAAUUGCUUAUUUCCCUUGCCUUUCUCUUGCUUUCCUAAACGUGGCAAGGAUUUUACUACAGUGUGGAUAUCUGGCUUCUGAUUAGAAACGACAAUGCAGCCCAUAAAAGGUAAUCAAAAUAUCACCUCAAAUAAAACAGUUUUAGAUGAAAAAAGAAAGCACCAAUAACUUUCCCUCUUCGCUUGCCCUCAAAAGUGUCAGAAAGAAAGACAGUUACUCUAAAAGCAAAAGAGGAAAAAACGCUCCAUUCCACCAGUAGUACAGGGUUUACUGUCUAAUGUCACAAAAGAGAAUAAUUAUACUCACCGCCUUGUUUUUCUUCAAAGUAGACUGGGACCAGAGCUACACAGCCCAGCUCAGGAAAACUCUGAAAUGAAGGGGAUGGGAAGUGGAUCACCUGGGAUCAGAACCAGGUUGAGAUGUUUUACUAAAAAGUUGCGUAUUCCUCUGUUUAAUUUCCUCUAGGAUUUAUGACGGCAGAGCCACCAUAAAGCUUUAUUUCCCAGGACAUUCUCUGAAACACCCGCACCAAGGCUCUGCGAACCGCCUCUAGGUUUUGUUUGUUGCAGCGUCAACGUGAACUCUGCGCUUUUGUCGUGGUUCACUGCUAGCGCCUCGCCCUUUUCUUACAGUGACCCAGAGUUAGAGAUUGAUAGUGUGAACUUCACUGGGCCAACACAGUUUCCCAAGGAAAUUCGUGUAUUUAUUAACUAAGGAAAAAUGAACACCUUCUUUUAAGCGUGUGUCUCAGAAGCCUCUGAAUGAUUUCUAUAAAACACAGACAAUAGGAGCAAAUCCAAGAAGCAAGUAGGAGACAAGUAGAUAGGAUCAACUCAGAACAGCUCAAAUGAGACUGAGAACAAUACGGUGCUUUGAUUGAUAAGGUGAUUUAAAAAUUAAAAGAGAGGAGUCUAUCUGAGAGCUGAAUGCCAGUUGCCAGAGAUUGAUGGAUGGCAUGAGUCUUCUUUUCUUUGCAGCAUCUUUCAGAUCAAGAUAUGUUUUCUCUUAGAGUGAAUCUUUAUAAGACAAUCGCUUGACUAGAAGGGGGAUCUGUGUGUGUGUGUGUGUGUGUGUGUGUGUGUGUGUGUGUGUGUGUGUGUGAGUGUGCACAUCCAUGCACUGUUUUAGAAUAGGGCUCUAUACCAAGCAUGCAAGGCUGCUCCAUAGCUCUGCAACUGUCUGUACUUUCCAUAGCUUGUGCACAGAUAAGGUACUCUGAAAACAUCCCUCCUGGGUGAGCCUUCAUUUCCAAUUGUGUCUAUGCACCAUGUGGUAGCCAGCAUGAUUAAGGAAAAAGUGAUUAUAUGAACCUCCAAAUCCAUCUGUCAUGUCACAGGCAUUGAAGAGCCUCACUGAAAAAUUAGCCUCCUCCUUCCCCCAACUUGUGUUUUCCCAUCCUCAAGACAAUACAGGAAGCUCUUAGCUGGGAGAGAAAGGAACAAAGGGGCAAGGAAUUCAAUAAAAAAGAGAUCCUAGGCAAAAUGAAAUAUUGUUUCCCUGUCUGUAUUUCUCUCCAAUCCGCCAGAGCAUUAACUGCUUGCCUGCUGCAUUAUGAGGCAGAAGCGCGUCUAGGAUUUGCCUGCAAUAGACUAAGGUCUCUGAAGCAUCAGGGACGUCCAGAGUGAUGAGUGGUUGGGAACAGAGACUAAACCAGAUAUAAAAAUGAGUCAAAUGUGAAAAAACACUCUUAUUUCCUACUUCUUUGGAAUUUCUCUAGUACACUUGCUUAUUUAACUGCACUGACAGACUCAAAGACUUAUUGGAUUUUUAUAUUCUCUGUACACAUCUGAAGACUUACUGAAAUUGCAUACCAUUUUUUUUUAUUAUUUCCUUGCAUGUGUCUGCAUUUUUUCCGGGAGAGGAUCCAUAGAAUCCUCACGUUUCUUUAAAAAAGGGUCUCUGAUCCUCAAAGUUAAAAUUCACCACAAUAAGGUAUCUGCUGUUCUGUUUAUUUUCUCAAUUGCAGAAGGUUCAUUUUCCAUCAUUGGGGAUUAGGAGUCAGGAGACAGAUUCUGUGAAAUACUUAACCCAAGAACAGACCACAGAGAAGCAUAAGUAAAGUAGACAGCAGAUGCUAAAUUAGAAGAUGAAAGACAAUGGGGUGAAGGAUGUUAGGUUUAUAAGGACAUUUUUCUCAUUUCGCUAUUGUGAUUCAGACUCAGUCAAAACAUUUAAAAUGCACAGUGCAUGGAUUCUGUUGUUUGUAUAAACUAUUUUUUCAAAAGAACUUUAUUUUUAAGUUCUUAUUUCAGUUGCUGGGAGGAAAAGAUGUUGAGUAUUUGGACUAAUGAACUCAUUUAAAAUUUCCUCAGUUGACAUUAGAUUUAAAGAGAAUUAAUUAAAAUGGGGAAAUUGUAGAAUAGUAAACCUGUUUCAGGUUAGGGGCUUUUGAUGGAAAGAAGUAUAGUUUGCCAUGAGCAGGCUGGCUUACAGUUAAUGAAAUUUUUAGUCUGUGUACAUUCACCCUACUCUGAAUGUUUUCUAAAAGUUAAAAAGUGUCAGGGUUCAUAGGUAUAUUUUAGAAUUGAGUAGUUUAACUACAACAGAUAGAAGAGCUAUUUUAGGCAAGACAUAUUCCCAAUAUUGUUACUGAAGAGGCAAGAACUGAACCCUGACACAUCACUCAUUUAUCAGAAUACAUAAAGUAACCUUAAAGACACCAAAACUUCCCUUCAUGAUCAAAACACUCAACAAACUAAAUGGACAGGAACUUCCUCAAACUGAUAAAGGAUAUCAUCUAUGAAAAACUAAAGCUAACCUCAUACUUAAUGUGAAAGACUAAAAGCUUCAUUGUUGAAGAUCAGUAAGUUAACCAUAAAAGUCUAUUUAAUAGCCAUCUGUGGUAGACUGGAUCAAAGUUCCAGUUCUUCCCUUCCUUAGAUAAUAAUAGUAUAAGAUCAAACUAUAUAUAAUUGGCUUUUUUGGUUAAGUGAAAAGUGAUCAAAUAGCAGUUUCACAGGGUUUAACCUAAUGCACACUUACCUCUGGCCACAUCACUUUCCGGUGUUCACCCAAUGGGAGUGGUGUGUUCUUCUUCAGCCUGUCGAUACUGGGCACAGCUCCGUGAUUUGCUUUGGUUACUGAGUGUUUGUGAGCAGAGACUUGAAAUCUGCACAUGUGGUUUGGCUUGCACACCAACUGUUCCUGAGGAGAAGAACAUUCCCUGGGUUGUCACUAGUCCAAGGAGGAUGAGAUACAUAUGGAGUCAACCACAGCCUGGAGCUGAGACCAACAGACUUUCAGCCUGAAGCAGAGCCUCCUCGUCUAGAGCAUCUGAACCCCAAGUCAUCUGCAGAGUUAUAGAAAUGUGAACUUUCAUCCGGAGCAAACAAAGAAUGUCUAGAUUUUCAAAUGAAUUUCAACCCCAGGACCUUCCAAGGGGGCAGUAAGCAUCCUUUGUGUUCCUGGCAGGAAUGAAAGGGGUGAAACCAGAUGAUGCCAGAGUUUGGGCUGGUGUUCGGGUUUGGAAUGCUGGCCUGGAGCAACCCCAGGAGGCAACUUAGAACUGAAAGAAGAUGAUGAAGAACCUAAAGCACAGAAAAGUUAAAUAAGUUGCUCAAACUCACACAACUAAUAACUGAAGAGUUAAGAUUUGAACCCAGACGACUGAUUGUAGAGUCCAUGUUUAUAACUAUAUGCCAUCUGUCUUCACCCUCUGUCUCUCAGCAUCUUUUUCUCUGACAUCCAUGGACAGACACAUUCUUUUCUACUCUAAGGAAAAAACAAAUGAGCCAAAUUGUGCUACAUUAUGGUAGGUAUAAAGGCAGAUCUAGGAUCGGGAUGGGGAAUACGUGUAACUCUAUGGCUGAUUCAUAUCAAUGUAUGACCAAAAAUAAAUAAAUAAAUAAAGGCAGAUCUAGCCUGGAAAUAGGAAGCGGAGUUGGGAAGUUCUCAACUCCACUUUUCUUUAUCUAAAAUACCUGUGGCGGAUGACUUGGUGUUCCAUCCCAGAAGGACUGGGAGACUCCUCUUUAAAGACUGGCUUAUAUGAUGAUUGCAGCUUCACCCCACCCUUACCACCAUCGUCAUCCCCACCCACACAUGUGGACAGUGCUGGCUGGGUAUCUGUCAGUCCCUUGAGUCAGCCAGAUGGUGAGAAAGGAUCAUUGUCCCCCUACUUCCCUCCUCCUGCUUUCCUGACAUUGUAUAUCCUUGAUGGAGAUUUACUUCUUUGCAUCCAGCUAAAGACUCUUAAGAGUCCCUUGGACAGCAAGGAGAUCAAACCAGUUAACAAUCUUAAAUGAAAUAAACUCUGAAUACUAUUCGGAAGGACUGAUGCUGAAGCAGAAGCUCCAA
This is a long non-coding RNA of Cervus elaphus (red deer), 4550 nucleotides long. RefSeq lists it as uncharacterized. The transcript has 4 exons. The record is from RefSeq and is a predicted model, not a curated record. Lineage: Eukaryota; Metazoa; Chordata; Mammalia; Artiodactyla; Cervidae.